ACCAAAAAUCUAGCCCUAUUUUAUUUACAUAAAAACUACUUAAACUGAAUUACAAAACUAAACCAUUUAUUUUAAUUUAGUAAAGGCGAUUGAAAAAUUAUUUAGAGCUACAAUAAUAGUACCGCAAGGAAAAGAUGAAAUAAAAAUGAAAUAAAUUUUAAGUAAAAAAAAGCAGAGCUUUAUCCUCGUACCUUUUGCAUCAUGAUUUAACUAGUUAAACCAAGCACUAAGAAUUAUAGUUUGACUUCCCGAAACUAGACGAGCUACUUCGAGGCAGCUUAAAGAGCACACCCGUCUCUGUUGCAAAAGAGUGGGAUGACCCCAAAGUAGCGGUGACAGACCUAACGAGUCUAGUGAUAGCUGGUUACUUAAGAAAAGGACUUUAGUCCAACCUAAAACAUUAUUUAAUAAACUAAAAUUAAACCCUAUGUUUUAGAGCCAUUCAACCGAGGUACAGCCCGCUUGAAAUAAGGACACAACCUACACUUAUGGGUAAUUAUUUAUGUUUUAUAGCCAAGUAGGCCUAAAAGCAGCCACCUUUUAUAAAAGCGUCAAAGCUUAUCUAUAUUAAACACCUUAAUCACAACAUACUUAAAAAACCCUUCACCUAUAUUAAGUAAUUCUAUACUACUAUAGAAAUUAUUAUGUUAAAACUAGUAAUAAGAAGAAGACCUUCUCUUUAAUAUAAGUAUAAAUCAGAAAGGACAAACCACUGAUAUUUAAAUGCUAAUGAAAAAAAAUAGUAACCGCACUAGAAAACCCUAUUUCACCUAGCAUUAACCUAACACAAGAAUAUUACAAGAAAGAUUUAAAGAAAAAGAAGGAACUCGGCAAAUAUUAACCUCGCCUGUUUACCAAAAACAUCGCCUCUUGUUUACUUAUUAGAGGUCCAGCCUGCCCAGUGACUAAAUUCAACGGCCGCGGUAUCCUAACCGUGCGAAGGUAGCGUAAUCACUUGUUCUUUAAAUAAGGACUAGUAUGAAUGGCACCACGAGGGUUAUACUGUCUCCUUUUUCCAAUCAAUGAAACUGAUCUCCCCGUGAAGAAGCGGGAAUAUACAUAUAAGACGAGAAGACCCUAUGGAGCUUCAAACUAAAUAGCACUGACUUACUUUUUACUAAAUUUCAGAAUAACAAUAUGUAUUCUAGCCAAAUGACUAUUAGUUUUAGGUUGGGGUGACCGCGGAGCAGAAACUAACCUCCACAUUGAAUGGACUAAUUGUCCUGAGCUAUAAACUACACCUUUAAGCACCAAUAAACUGACAUCAAUUGACCCAAUAUUUUGAUCAACGAACCAAGUUACCCUAGGGAUAACAGCGCAAUCUACCUCAAGAGCUCCUAUCGACAGGUAGGUUUACGACCUCGAUGUUGGAUCAGGGUAUCCCAGUGGUGCAGCCGCUACUAAAGGUUCGUUUGUUCAACGAUUAAAACCCU
This 1433-nucleotide ribosomal RNA is filed under the name Dendropsophus timbeba (Cuzco Reserve treefrog). RNAcentral's name for it is "partial 16S ribosomal RNA". It matches the Rfam family "Bacterial large subunit ribosomal RNA", at positions 133 to 2597 of the family's 2925-position model. The record is from RNAcentral. Lineage: Eukaryota; Metazoa; Chordata; Amphibia; Anura; Hylidae.